This 403-nucleotide ribosomal RNA is filed under the name uncultured bacterium. RNAcentral's name for it is "partial 16S ribosomal RNA". It matches the Rfam family "Bacterial small subunit ribosomal RNA", at positions 28 to 526 of the family's 1533-position model. The record is from RNAcentral.
GAUGAACGCUGGCGGCGUGCCUAAUACAUGCAAGUCGAACGCAGUGGGGACGGGUGAGUAACACGUGGGUAACCUCCCAUCAGAGGGGAUAACACUUGGAAACAGGUGCUAAACCGAUACUGAUGGAUGGACCCGCGGUGAAGUAGCCAGUUGGUGGGGGAACGGCUCACCAAGGCCACGAUGCAUAGCAGGCCUGAAAGGAUGAUCGGCCACAAUGGGACUGAGACACGGCCCAGACUCCUACGGGAGGCGGCAGUAGGGAAUCUUGGGCAAUGGACGAAAGUCUGACCAAGCAACGCCGCGUGAGUGAAGAAGGUUGUCGGAUCGUAAAACUCUGUUAUUAGAGAGGCGGUAUCUACCCAGAAAGCCCCGGCUAACUACGUGCCAGCAGCCGCGGUAAUUC